GAUGAAGAACGCAGCGAAAUGCGAUACGUAAUGUGAAUUGCAGAAUUCAGUGAAUCAUCGAAUCUUUGAACGCACAUUGCGCCCGCCAGCACUCUGGCGGGCAUGCCUGUUCGAGCGUCAUUUCAACCAUCAAGCCCCAGGCUUGCGUUGGAGCCCUGCGGCUGCCGCAUCCCCCUAAAAGCAGUGGCGGGCUCGCUAUCACACCGAGUGCAGUAGAUUACUCUUCGCUCAGGGCGUGCAGCGGGUUCCGGCCGUGAAACCCCCUACUUUUAAAGGUUGACCUCGGAUCAGGUAGGAAUACCCGCUGAACUUAAGCAUAUCAAUAAGCGGAGGA
This 334-nucleotide unclassified non-coding RNA is filed under the name soil metagenome. Its description in RNAcentral is "partial contains 5.8S ribosomal RNA, internal transcribed spacer 2, and large subunit ribosomal RNA". The stretch from base 1 to 120 matches the Rfam family "5.8S ribosomal RNA", at positions 35 to 154 of the family's 154-position model. The record is from RNAcentral.